Molecule: long non-coding RNA, 325 nt
Filed under: Equus caballus (horse)
Lineage: Eukaryota; Metazoa; Chordata; Mammalia; Perissodactyla; Equidae
Description: lncRNA (ENSECAG00000048886.1)
Source: RNAcentral
AAGAGAGCAGCUGCGUGAAGGCAAUUUGGGCAGAUUGACAGUCUGGAGUUGUCUGGAACGGAACCAGCAAUAUCUCCAAGCGCCAUCUGUCAUCCAAUCAUGGGGGAUGGGAGCACGGUAAAAUUAAAUUGCUGAGAACCCAGGCUCCCAGCAGCAGUGGAAGAUGAUGGUUACCAUGAGGAGAAAGAUCCGAUUCCUGGAAAGAGCAGAGCUCAAGGAACCACUGCUGAUGGACUUCAAUGAAAAGAGGGUUAAAAUACCUUUUAAAUUACAGAAUUAAUAGAAAAUAAUUGCAAAUAUUAAAAAAUAGAAGCUUGCAAGAUAA